Molecule: ribosomal RNA, 784 nt
Filed under: Lacticaseibacillus paracasei
Lineage: Bacteria; Bacillati; Bacillota; Bacilli; Lactobacillales; Lactobacillaceae
Description: bacterial SSU rRNA
Rfam family: Bacterial small subunit ribosomal RNA
Source: RNAcentral
AGUUCUGAAUGUGAAAAGCCCUUCCGUCUUAACCCGAAGGAAGCGCAUUCGGAAACUGGGAAACUUUGAGUGCAGGAAGAGGACAGUGGAACUUCCAUGUGUAGCGGUGAAAAUGCGUAGAUUAUAUGGAAAGAACACCCAGUGGCGAAGGCGGCUGUUCUGGUCUGUAAACUGACGCUGAGGCUCGAAAGCAUGGGUAGCGAACAGGAUUAGAUACCCCUGGUAGUCCCAUGCCGUAAACGAUGAAUGCUAGGUGUUGGGAGGGUUUCCGCCCUUCAGUGCACAAAAGAAAAACGCAUUAAGCAUUCCGCCUGGGGAGUACGACCGCAAGGUUGAAACUCAAAGGAAUUGACGGGGGCCCGCACAAGCGGUGGAGCAUGUGGUUUAAUUCGAAGCAACGCGAAGAACCUUACCAGGUCUUGACAUCUUUUGAUCACAUGAGAGAUCAGGUUUCCCCUUCGGGGGCAAAAUGACAGGUGGUGCAUGGUUGUCGUCAGCUCGUGUCGUGAGAUGUUGGGUUAAGUCCCGCAACGAGCGCAACCCUUAUGACUAGUUGCCAGCAUUUAGUUGGGCACUCUAGUAAGACUGCCGGUGACAAACCGGAGGAAGGUGGGGAUGACGUCAAAUCAUCAUGCCCCUUAUGACCUGGGCUACACACGUGCUACAAUGGAUGGUACAACGAGUUGCGAGACCGCGAGGUCAAGCUAAUCUCUUAAAGCCAUUCUCAGUUCGGACUGUAGGCUGCAACUCGCCUACACGAAGUCGAAUCGCUAGAUACCCUAUC